UUCCUUCUGGAAUGCCAUUCCACGCUUGAAGUCAGAUCACUCCCUGGUCUUACACACCUUUUGCAGACUUGAGUCAUCUGCCUGCCUCUUCUUCAGGAGAGGGUGUGCUGUGGUGUGUCAACUUAGGGGCAGAAAGAUUGUCAAAACAUCAUUAGAGAUGCUCUGAGGGUUCCUAUGGUGAAAGCAGAAUGGCUGCUGGGAGGAGGAGCCACUUGGCAGGACCCCAGCCACUCACUAAGGAAAGAGGGAGGGCGGCUUGUCAGGGUGGAGCCAGGCAUCCGCCUGAAGAUUCUGAAGCAGAUUGGGGCAGGUGGCUUCUUGAGAAGCCUUGUCAUGUGAGGGUGGAGGAAGGAGGAGGAAAGAUGAUCUACCUGUUUGCUAAUGUCCUUUUGUCUCAACAGCUCCGGCCUGAAUCUGGUUUCUAUUCUGUCCCCAGUUGCAUGGCUUCCUAUCUGCAGCCCAAUUCUGAGAAAAGGAAAGAAGGUCAAAGCAAGGCAAGGGAACACAGAAAGGUUUGCCCUGGCGGGGGGGGGGGGGGGGGGCGGGGGACACAUGCUUGGAGAGCCUUCACCUGGGGAAAAGGUGCACCAGCCCAGGAGAGAACAGAUCCGUGGGACCAGAAGAGAACGAUGGUCCCAGAAAACCUGAAUCUUGGCCUGCCUGUCCCACAUAAUAAAUCUAAACAUCUGAUGCUCCAACAUUCUCUCCCGAUCAGAAGAGAUCAGGUGAGCCUGAGGAUGACUCAGCCGAGGCCGCUGGGAAAACAGGCUGUGGCCUGUGAAAAAGUUGGGUCAGGCAUAGCAUUUGAGGGCUGGCUCACGUUAUGGCUCAAACUUUCACCCCCUCCUUGUUUCUAUCACCAUUCCCUCCUUGCCCAGACCAGACUUGCCUUUCAGAUCUACAGAACUGGGAUUUUGGAUCUGGCAAGAGUCUUAUUUUGUCAUCAUCCCUCCUUUUGUAGGCUCUGAGAAUGGCUAAAGCACCUCAGGUUUGUGAAUUCCCCUCCCUGCAAAGCAAAGCUACCGUGUUGGCCAAUACGUCAGCAGGUAGGAACAAUACUUGGCUCACUUGUUAGAUAUAAUCUGCCUGGUGUGUCCCUGUGUGGGUGGAAACCAAGGCGUGAUGACUACCUAUCUCAGUAUCAAUAAACACAAACCACUGCAAGUCUGUACACCUUCAGUGUCCCUUAUGAACCAAGCUUCCGAGUUACCCUCUGAGAGGAGAGACGAUAAGAUACAGUGCCUGUCCACAGUGCGUAUGUUAGAGAACAUGGAAUGAAAAGCUUGUCCCUCAUUUGAUAUGAAUAGCUACCAAUUAUUCAGCACCUACCAUAUUGUAUUAUAUUUUCCACAUUGCAUUCUAUUUUCUCUAGUCUUCUCAACAACUCGCUAAGGCAAGUAUCAGCCUCCUGUUGAUAUGGAAACUGAGGCUCAAAGAGCUCAAGUGAUUUGUGCAGGCCAGGCAUCGAGGGCAGCCCUCAGCUCUGGGAGGCUAAAUGUCAGAGGAAGACAGAAGUCAAGGAUGUUGCAAACCUUCCAUUCUUGGUUUCACACAGGCCUGGGUUGAAAUCUUAGUUCUAGCACUUGUCACUUGCGGGGCCUUGGGAAAGCUGCUCCCUGUCUUGGCUUCUUCAUAAGACAACUGGAAAGAUGAAAUGAGAGGAGGUGAGCAUUGCUCAUUUCCCCAGAACGUUUGGGUGCAAAGUGACUCAUUUUGGCAGAGCAUGCUCAUCCCCUUGAUCCCGUGCCACUUCCUCACCAACUUCAGCUUUUUACCUUCUCCACCUUCUCAGUGAGACCUUCCCUAUCCAAAAGGCCAACCCCACCCCAACUCUCCUUAUCCCCUUUCCUACUUUAAUCACCAAGUAAUAUAUUAAAAAUUGUACUUAUUUAUUUUUGUCUGUCUUGUCUGUCUCUACCCACAGAAGGUGGAGUUUUUGACAUUUAGAAUCUGUAUUUUUUUCUGUAUCAUCCCAAGCACAAAUACAGAUUGGUUAAAAGAAUGAAUGAAAACAAAACUAAACAAAAACCCCAAAACUUUUUGACACCAAAAGAAAUUGGCUUUUUCCUCACUACCUCUUUUCCCGGGCUGGGGGUGGGGGGAAGCCUUGGUUUCCUUAUUUGCAAAAUAAUGGUUUCUAUUUUGAAGACUGCUGGGAUGAUUAAGUGACAUGUGUAUAAAAACUGGCACAUAGCAAGUGCUGAAUAAAUGCCUGCUAUCAUCACUCAAAAUAAUCUGACCAGUUGUUUAAUGAAACUCAAGGAAACCAUCUGUCAAUGGAACUCAGAUCUGAAGUGUCCAGCCUCAGUGUUUCAGCCCAGUUGUCUUCCGGGUUGGACCAUAAACAGUCGAAUAGGUGUGAAAUCGCCCCGUGUUACAAUCCAAGGCGGCUGUUAGGUUUGCUUCACUGUUACAGUCUCACUACUGAAGGCAGCUCAAAUGACUUGCCCAAGAUCACUGCCUCAAAAGCCAGGGCAUGUAGGAUCUGCACAAAUCCAGCCUCCUGAAAGUAUACAUUACACUGUCCCUUCUUCCAGGUUCUCUCUACAAGGUGGGAGGGUGGCACUAGUCUUCAGCCAGGCUUGUCACUAUCAUCUCCUGCCAUUCACAUAACUUUUUUGACACCCAGUUUUAUGGCUCGCAUAAAUGCAAAAUAAAAAAUCCACUCCUCACAGCUUUGUGGCCAGGAGCACCAGCGCG
Pipistrellus kuhlii (Kuhl's pipistrelle) is the source of this 2700-nucleotide long non-coding RNA. RefSeq lists it as uncharacterized. The transcript is spliced from 2 exons. The record is from RefSeq and is a predicted model, not a curated record. NCBI's taxonomy places the organism in Eukaryota, Metazoa, Chordata, Mammalia, Chiroptera, Vespertilionidae.